UCGCAAGAGGGGGUGGAAAGUAGGUUGGAAGAAACAGAAUAUGAAUGGAGGUACUGCAAAUUCAACGAAAGGAGUUGUGUUUAAAGGGCCGAAGUAACACGGCAAAGAAAAUGAACUACCUGGGGAUAAGCAGCCGCUGCCAACUUAAAUGCAACUUAACCCUCAGACACUGAUUGUUUUCCCACUGUUGUCUAUCACUAUUGUUAGACAUUAGUGGGGUGGUGUGGAACAUUUCACAUGGAAAUGAAUGCUAGUCAUAAAUAUCACACCAGAACCUACAUCAGUUACCUCUACGCUAGCCUAGGCUAAUUGCCGUUGUCAAUUCGUAACACCUCCAAAUACGGUCCUCCCUUUAUAAUAUUCAGUCUUUUCAGCAGUCUGGGCAUACGAGUAUUACAAGGUCCAUGGGUAUGAAGCAACAUCUGCAUUCGUAAUACAAUCUCAUAAAAAACAAGCUUGUAGUACCACGUAUAAAUGAACAAUGAAAUUUACAUUAAUCAAACAUGGCGCCUCCAUAUAUUGUCUAAUUGUUGCUUAAUUUUUUUCUGAAAGUAACAUCAUAUAGUACUCCCGUCACUGUUUGAUUAUCGAAAACCUUAGAAUAUCGGUCACCCACUUGUUAAUGGUAACUGCACAUAAGAUCAAAUGAGGGUAAAAAUUGGAGCAGGUUAAAUAGCUCUUGAAGAUCCUGAUCAACUCAAAACACCCGUGUAAUGGCGAAGUGUAAACAAAAGCAAUCAUAUUUCUGCAUUCUAGGCCUACCAACACCUCGGUAACUAUUUAAUUGAAAAUUUUAGUGGAUCUUAUUUGGCUAAAAUACUAACAAAAUCCUAGAUUAUAUAAUUAUGCUGUAUCUGAAUCAAAGUUUAAAGGCAAAUAUCUAAAUUCCUCCUGCUCUUAUAUAAGUGACGUCAGAGGUAGGAAUGUCGAGCUUUCGUUGUUUGUUUUGAGAUUAUAUAUUGAAAAGGUAUUCCACAGUCCGCGCCACCAUAUGACCAUAGUACAUACAUUCGGUGUGACCCGUACGUUUACGUUCCGGUAUAAUCGUGUGUCUACGAAAUUGUAGUUCAGAGCGAUAACCAAUGACCUCCUUGAAAGCAAAGAUUUUAUGAAGGUGACAGGCCCCGCCCACUAUCGGAGCACUCGAGAAACAGCUUGGCAGGCAUAAAUUGUCGAGGAUACAAUCACAAUUAGUAGAAGAAGACCAAUCACAGCCCCCAAGAUAACAUAUAAAAUGAGAUUGGAAAACAUCACAGAGCUAUCGUUCUUCUUAAUGGACCUUUCUUC
Molecule: long non-coding RNA, 1287 nt
Organism: Macrobrachium nipponense
Lineage: Eukaryota; Metazoa; Arthropoda; Malacostraca; Decapoda; Palaemonidae
Exons: 3
Source: RefSeq, a predicted model, not a curated record